Molecule: ribosomal RNA, 253 nt
Filed under: uncultured bacterium
Lineage: Bacteria
Description: partial 16S ribosomal RNA
Rfam family: Bacterial small subunit ribosomal RNA
Source: RNAcentral
GACGAACCGUGCGAACGUUGUUCGGAUUCACUGGGCUUAAAGGGCGCGUAGGCGGAUGGUCAAGUCGGGGGUGAAAGCCCUGGGCUCAACCCAGGAAGUGCACUCGAAACUGCCUCGCUGGAGUGCCGGAGAGGAAAGCGGAAUUCUCGGUGUAGAGGUGAAAUUCGUAGAUAUCGAGAGGAACACCGGUGGCGAAGGCGGCUUUCUGGACGGUUACUGACGCUGAGACGCGAAAGCGUGGGGAGCAAACAGG